This 108-nucleotide small nucleolar RNA is filed under the name Brassica napus (rape). RNAcentral describes it as "Plant small nucleolar RNA R71". It matches the Rfam family "Plant small nucleolar RNA R71". From Rfam's summary of the family: R71 is a member of the C/D box family of snoRNAs containing the C (UGAUGA) and D (CUGA) box motifs. Multiple nearly identical copies of this snoRNA have been identified in Arabidopsis, and it is thought to function as a 2'-O-ribose methylation guide for 18S ribosomal RNA. The record is from Rfam by way of RNAcentral. Lineage: Eukaryota; Viridiplantae; Streptophyta; Magnoliopsida; Brassicales; Brassicaceae.
AAACCAUGAUGCGGGCAUUGAGCCCAAUAGUCCUUGAACCUCUCCCAUGCUUCACUGAAGCUCUCUAGACCUUUUUUGUUCAAAACCAGAGAUUUCGUUCCUGAUCUU